AGUGAACGCUGGCGGUAGGCCUAACACAUGCAAGUCGAACGGCAGCACAGUAAGAGCUUGCUCUUACGGGUGGCGAGUGGCGGACGGGUGAGGAAUACAUCGGAAUCUACUUUUUCGUGGGGGAUAACGUAGGGAAACUUACGCUAAUACCGCAUACGACCUACGGGUGAAAGCAGGGGAUCUUCGGACCUUGCGCGACUGAAUGAGCCGAUGUCGGAUUAGCUAGUUGGCGGGGUAAAGGCCCACUAAGGCGACGAUCCGUAGCUGGUCUGAGAGGAUGAUCAGCCACACUGGAACUGAGACACGGUCCAGACUCCUACAGGAGGCAGCAGUGGGGAAUAUUGGACGAUGGGCGCAAGCCUGAUCCAGCCAUACCGCGUGGGUGAAGAAGGCCUUCGGGUUGUAAAGCCCUUUUGUUGGGAAAGAAAAGCAGCAGGUUAAGACCCCGCUGUUCUGACGGUACCCAAAGAAUAAGCACCGGCUAACUUCGUG
RNAcentral lists this ribosomal RNA (492 nucleotides) under uncultured bacterium. RNAcentral describes it as "partial 16S ribosomal RNA". It matches the Rfam family "Bacterial small subunit ribosomal RNA", at positions 29 to 507 of the family's 1533-position model. The record is from RNAcentral.